AUUGAACGCUGGCGGCAGGCCUAACACAUGCAAGUCGAGCGGAUGAAGGGAGCUUGCUCCUGGAUUCAGCGGCGGACGGGUGAGUAAUGCCUAGGAAUCUGCCUGGUAGUGGGGGAUAACGUCCGGAAACGGGCGCUAAUACCGCAUACGUCCUGAGGGAGAAAGUGGGGGAUCUUCGGACCUCACGCUAUCAGAUGAGCCUAGGUCGGAUUAGCUAGUUGGUGGGGUAAAGGCCUGCCAAGGCGACGAUCCGUAACUGGUCUGAGAGGAUGAUCAGUCACACUGGAACUGGGACACGGUCCAGACUCCUACGGGAGGGAGCAGUGGGGAAUAUUGGGCAAUGGGCGAAAGCCUGAUCCAGCCAUGCCGCGUGUGUGAAGAAGGUCUUCGGAUUGUAAAGCACUUUAAGUUGGGAGGAAGGGCAGUAAGUUAAUACCUUGCUGUUUUGACGUUACCAACAGAAUAAGCACCGGCUAACUUCGUG
Molecule: ribosomal RNA, 484 nt
Filed under: uncultured bacterium
Lineage: Bacteria
Description: partial 16S ribosomal RNA
Rfam family: Bacterial small subunit ribosomal RNA
Source: RNAcentral